Scylla paramamosain (green mud crab) is the source of this 5329-nucleotide long non-coding RNA. RefSeq lists it as uncharacterized. The transcript has 7 exons. The record is from RefSeq and is a predicted model, not a curated record. Lineage: Eukaryota; Metazoa; Arthropoda; Malacostraca; Decapoda; Portunidae.
CGUGUGUCGAGGAACUUUGACAAAAUCUGGAUAAAUAUUUGGGCAUUGAUAAUUUCUAAAUAUUUAUUGUGUUUGAGCAGCGAAAUGAUCGUGAAAUGAAGUGAAAUAUUACGCAAAUCUCGUUCAGAAUGGUGGAAAUUGUCACAUUCAGAGCAUUUCGUGACUUUGCAGGGUGAAUAUGCAAGAUACGCUGUGGAUUAGUGAUUGCACAUGGGUAAUGCAAUGGUGGCCACGUCUUGCCACCUGAACAACACCACUGCAGAAGAAGAACUCAGAAGAACUGAUUCGGAACCUCCUCGAAGCCGCCGCCUCCCGUGCGCUCCUCUUCCAGGCGUCUCACCACCGUGGCGCCGCUGCUCUCCACACGCGGCCAGGAGGCCCCAGAGAUGACCCACCUGAUGCACCGCGCUCGCUCCCUCACGUCCGUGAUGAUGGUGGAGGACCCCGCGGCGCGCACCGUGACGUCUUGGGCUGCCACCCUCACCAGCACCCACACAUUAGCGCCUCUCUACCCUCAGCCCGGCGACCACCACCAACACCACCUUCCCCCAGCGCGGCCACGCCCGCCUCCGCCGCGAGCACCUCACCACGCCCGCCGCCCACUCGGGGACGCAGCGCCGCUGGUCGCUGUCCCUGGAGGAGGACGUAACGCAGUACGUGGCGGAGGGGCGGGGGGCGGCUCGCCACGUGCAGGGCCGCGGUGUCAGGAACUACUACUACUCUGUGACACGCCCCAACCAGCGGCGCACCAGCGAGCGGGACGUAGCCCGCGCUGCCCUCGUCAACUGGGCGGCGAGCCAGAUGGCGCGGACCCCACCCACCCAUCUAUGAGGAGCGGAAAGACCAGCUGAGAGACGCCGCGCUGUCCCGCCGCAACCACACACUGCCGGUGCAGUGACUCAGACUAUUCCGUGGGCGGCCUCACUAGACAGGAUGGAUGGCCCGCCUCUCCCACGCCCAUCCGCCCACUGCCCACCACGCCCACGGCCCACACUGCUCCCUUCCACGCCGCCCUCAACACACCCAGCGGCUUGCACAACCUCAUGGCAAGGUUCGGAGGCCUCCAGAGAGCUGGCCAGAGUGAAGCUUGUGUUAUAGAGGAACAGCUGCUGAUCAUCAAGCUUAUUGAGUGACUGGAGGAAAGUGGAGGAGCCUGGAGGGAGUCGUGGAGGUACAGUACUUGGAGAAAAUCCCUCCACCAUGAUGACUGGGUGUCUACUGUACAGUCCACCGACCAAUGACGGUGACACGUGCCAGUGGAAGCUUAAUGGCUGCCGGCAGGUGCUCGUGAGGGCCAGAAACACUUAUAAUAUUGACAAGUGACCCACCUGCUGCUUGGCCACCUGGGGACUGCUCACACACGCCAUGGUGCAAUAGGAGACUACCCGAUCCCGUGCCUCCCGUCCUGCCCCACCCAGACACCAUGGCCCGGCAGCGACACCAUUCCACCUGCUACAUGAUGCUGGCUGACGCACUCCUGACGUGGCAGCGACAGGAGGCGGAGGGCAGGAGCAAGAGUCGGGUGGUGAAGGAAGGCGUGACGGAAGAGGUGGUGGCUGUGGAGGGUGUUCGUGCAGGGUAUCUCGGCAGGGUCUAAGUUAGAGCAAAUGGAUGAUGAGAGACUAGUAAGAAGGGUGUUUGUGUGGAAUAUUAGGAGUAGCAGUUGGGGGAAGAAGUGUGUUAGGAUGGUAGUAAAGAGUGGCUUGGAAACUAGUUGGGCUUUUGAGUGGUUGAGUGAAGGCUUGUUGAGAGUGACUGAAGUAUGAGUGUCAGAAAUGGAGAGGGUUUAGAAUGUUAUGUAAGUAAGUGGAGAAGUGAGGUAGACACAGCAAUGAAGCACAUGGGAUUGAGUGAGCCAGGUGUGGAAAUUGUGGGAUGGAGCGAGCCAGGUGUGGAAAAGUGUGGAAAUUGUGUUGAAAAAGUGUAGAAAUUGUGGGAUUGAGUGAGCCAGGUAUGGAAAUUGUGUAGAAAAGUGUGAAAAUUGUGGAAAAAGUGUGGGAAUUGUGUUGAAAAAGUGUAGAAAUUGUGGGAUUGAGUGAGCCAGGUGUGGAGGAGUGAGACAGACAGAGCCAUGAAGCACGUGGGGUUGAGUGAGCCAGGUGUGUCACUUGGGGACGACUGUGAGUCAACCCAGGCCAACAGCUGAUGACGCUCAAUGAUGGAAUUAGAAGCUGCAUGAAUUGUUUAUGUAGAUUUUAGAAGCUGUCUGAAUUGUUUAUGUAAAUCUGAAGCACUUACUUUGAAUUGAAGGCUUGGACCAUGUAAUAUCUUUGUAAUUCUUCUGUACCAUUGUCAUAAGUUCCUUAGAUAACUCACUACAGUUUUGUCUCUAUCUAAUAAUAUGUACAUUUACUCAAACUGCAUUUUCUUUCAGUGUGCAGGUUGGCAGUAAACCUCCCUGAAGGUUCCAGAGCUGCUCAGCAGGUGCCCAGUCCAGGCUGUCACAAGACUGUGUGAUGGUGGACCUUCCAAUGAUACUCACUGAAAACAGCUGUGCACUGCCACUCACAGGAAAUGAUUGAGUUGCCUUGAAGCUGAGAUGAGUUGGUCAGCUAGUGAGUGGCUUCAAUCAAGUGACUGUGAGGUGUUGGCUUCAAUAAAGUGACUGUGAGGUGUUGCCUUCAAUCAAGUGACUGUGAGGUGUUGGCUUCGAUCAAGUGACUGUGAGGUGUUGGCUUCGAUCAAGUGACUGUGAGGUGUUGGCUUCGAUCAAGUGACUGUGAGGUGUUGGGCAUGGUAUUGUGUUAUUGCAAGUGUAACCAUUAAUAAGUAAGUUCUUUCCUUAUAACUCUUCAUACAUGGAUUGCCAUACAUGGACGGAUAAGGCCCUUGUACAGAGUCAUCAGCUGGGGGUGAGAAAAACUGGUGGAGAUGUCUCAGAACGCCUAACUUCACAGAAGCUGUUUUAGCUAGAGAUGAAAUGUGAAGUUUCUAGUUUAGAUCAUAAGUAAAGGACAGACCAAGGAUGUUCAGUGUAGAAGAGGGGGACAGUUGAGUGUCAUUGAAGAAGAGGGGAUAGUUUGGAAGACUGUGUUGAGUUGAUAGAUGGAGGAAUUGAGUUUUUGAUGCACUGAACAAUACCAAGUUUGCUCUGCCCCAAUCAGAAAUUUUAGAGAGAUGAGAAGUGAGGUGUUCUGUGGCUUCCCUGUGUGAACUGUUUACUUCCUGAAGGGUUGGAUGUCUAUGAAAAGACAUGGAAAAGUGCAGGGUGAUGUCAUCAGCGUAGGAGUGGAUAGGACAAGAAGUAUGGGUUAGAAGAUCAUUAAUGAAUAAUAAGAGAGUGGGUGACAGGACAGAACCCUGAGGAACACCACUGUUAAUAGAUUUAGCAGAAGAACAGUGACCGUCUACCACAGCAGCAAUAGAAUGGUCAGAAAGGAAACUUGAGAUGAAGUUACAGAGAGAAGGAUAGAAACUGUAGGAGGGUAGUUUGGAAAUGAAAGCUUUGUGCCAGACUCUAUCAAAGGCUUUUGAUAUGUCCAAGGCAACAGCAAAAGUUUCACCAAAAUCUCUAAAAGAGGAUGACCAAGACUCAGUAAGGAAAGCCAGAAGAUCACCAGUAGAGCGGCCUUGACGGAACCCAUACUGGCGAUCAGAUACAAGGUUGUCAAGUGAUAGAUGUUUAAGAAUCUUCCUGUUGAGGAUAGAUUCAAAAACUUUAGAUAGGCAGGAAAUUAAAGCAAUAGGACUGUUGUUUGAGGGAUUAAAACUACUACUACUACUACUACUACUACUACUACUACUACUACUGCUACUACUACUACUACUACUACUACUACUACUACUACUACUACUACUACUACUACUACUACUACUACUACUACUCUCAUCUUGCCUGACUUCCAGACCAACAUUUACUGUGUAGAAAUGGCACAGUCUACUCCUUUAGUUCUUUUCCUUUCUAGAAUGUGCAUAUCAGUGUACCCUGUCGUGCCUCCCAUGCUGUGUAAUGCUGCAGUGUUGAUUGUGUGUGUGUGUUUCCCUCAGGUGGCACUGUGGAUAGCAAGCGGAAGAGGCCUUGGGAGACUUCCGUAAAUGAGGAGCAACAAGCACACCUCACUGGAGUCUUUCAGGAACCAACAGUCAGGGCUGAUGUGAAGGUGUCUGCAGCCAGUGUUUGGUCUCCUCUGUGCCUGGUGGUGGUGCCUCAUUGCAGGGCCUGAUGUGAAGGUGUCUGCAGCCAGUGGUGGUGCCUCAUUGCAGGGCUGAUGUGAAGGUGUCUGCAGCCAGUGGUGGGUGUCCUCUGUGCCUGGUGGUGCCUCAUUGCAGGGCCUGAUGUGAAGGUGUCUGCAGCCAGUGGUGGUGCCUCAUUGCAGGGCUGAUGUGAAGGUGUCUGCAGCCAGUGGUGGUGCCUCAUUGCAGGGCCUGACGUGAAUGUGUCUGCAGCCAAUGUUUGGUCUCCUCUGUGCCUGGUGGUGCCUCAUUGCAGGGCUGAUGUGAAGGUGUCUGCAGCCAGUGUUUGGUGUCCUCUCUUCCUGGUGGUGCAGCCUGAUGUGUUGCCUGCUUCAGUGUAAAUCUUGCAAGCCAGAUCUGCCAGGUGUCUCCAGUGUAGUAGUCUAGGGUGCUUUGCUUUGUGUCUUUGGCAAUAAAUAAAUUUGUGAGUAUCAUUCUCAUGUGAAUUAUAUAGUUUGAUAAAAUUACAGAAUGUGCUUGGGUAAACUAAAUUUAUAUAUUGGUGGUAAACAAUUCAUGCAUCCCCAAGUAAAUAAGUAAAAUAAAUAGGACCCAAAACAAUAGAUGCAAUAUAGAUCAUCCUCUGGUCAAAAAAAAAAAAAGCCAGGAUUGGCCCUUUUUUGGCUAAGUUUAAGGCGAAACUUGCACACAGAAGCCUUGUCCGAGCGACACCGGAGUCGCUCGGACAGGGCUUCUGUGUGCAAGUUUCACCUUAAACUUAAACCAUUUUUGGCUUUGACCAAAAAUGGGCCAAUCCUGGCUUUUUUUUUUUUGACCAGAGGAUGAUCAAUUGUUACUAGUAUUUUUUGCUUCCAUUUUUUUUUUUUUUUAUCAGGGCUAUGAACUGGUUACAUCAGAAAGCAGCUUAUUUGCAAUUUGUAAAAAGAUUUUAGUAUAUAAUUCCACAAGUAUGAACAAGAUGAUUAAAUAUAUUUGUUUAAAUCACAUUGCCAAAGUUUGUGAGGAGGCAUGAACUGUUACACCAGAAAGCUUGUUUAUUUGCAACUUGUUAGUAUAAUUCCCUAAGUAUGUACAAGAUAAUAUAUAUAUUGUUUAAUAAAUCAUUAUUGUUUAAUCAUUCCCUAAGUAUGUACAAGAUAAUAAUAUAUAUAUAUUGUUUAAUCACAAAAGUUUAAUAAAUACACAAUAGGAUAAA